CAUAACUGAUAAGCAAUAUAAGAAAUGUGUUCACGAAAAUACUUUGAAGAAUGAGGUGGUCAUUUUAUUUCAAGGAAACUGCUGUAUUUCAAAUUAUUAAUGGUGAAAAGUACCAGUGCUGUAAAUGGGACACUGGGACAUGUACAAUGUGACAGUGUUGAGCAGUAUGCUGCUGCUUGACAAGGCUCCAGCGUGUUGCCAGUUGUGGUUACUUAUUGACAAGUCGUGGCCUGUGUUUUCAUGCUUUUUCCAAACAGUUAUGCAUUGGUUAUUGUGACAUAUCUCUAAGAGGUAAACCCAUAUGGAUUUAUUGUAAACUCUGGCCAUAGUGGAGUAUCAAGAAAUUACUAUAACCUUGACUUGUGGAAAAUGUGCUCAGGGAGAACCCAGUGGUGGUGUUCUGCUUGGGAGUAAGGUAGUUCUACAAAUGCUUGGAAGUGGUAGAGGAUACACAGUCACACUGUUGUUUGUUUCUGGUUUUGAAUAUCUAUUUACUGCUUAUGACUUGUUACAUGUUUGAGAUACUGUAGUCUAAGCUGUGGGCACCAGGAGAGAAAACAGACAAACAAAUAUCAUCUAAAACCUGUAAUGCAGAUGAAAAAAAAGCAAGAGGAUUGUUCAACAAUCAAAAGAAACAAACAAAAAGAAACAGAGCACAGCCCGUGUUCCUCCACCAAGGGCCCUGAGUCCCUACAGCAGUUUAUUGGGGGUGUGGAUUAACAUGGUGGUUGGUUUCUAAGUAUUCCAGCUCUAUUAGAGGUAAAAAAUGGUAUUGGCCUUUACUCGCUGGAAUAAUUGAUAUGUGUGUUGUAAAUGCAUGGAUUAUUCACAGUUUUGUGAACAAAGACAAGAAAGAUCUCUAAAUUUGUUGUCUCCAAAGAGACAUCUGCAUAUAUUAAUUAGGAAGCAACAAGAACCCAUCAGGAGGAAGAAAGCAAAACUUGUGGAACUGCUCCCGCCCAAGAUGGCAUCAGACCUGACAUAGGGAGCCAUGCUGUUCUCAAAG
RNAcentral lists this long non-coding RNA (1006 nucleotides) under Marmota monax (woodchuck). The record is from RNAcentral. Lineage: Eukaryota; Metazoa; Chordata; Mammalia; Rodentia; Sciuridae.